GAGCGGGUGUAGCAAUACAUCAGCGGCAGACGGGUGAGUAACGCGUGGGAACCUUCCCUGUGGUACGGAAUAACUUCGGGAAACCGAAGCUAAUACCGUAUAUCUCCUCCGGGAGAAAGAUUUAUCGCCAUAGGAUGGGCCCGCGUUGGAUUAGCUAGUUGGUAGGGUAAUGGCCUACCAAGGCAACGAUCCAUAGCUGGUCUGAGAGGAUGAUCAGCCACACUGGGACUGAGACACGGCCCAGACUCCUACGGGAGGCAGCAGUGGGGAAUAUUGGACAAUGGGCGCAAGCCUGAUCCAGCCAUGCCGCGUGAGUGAAGAAGGCCUUAGGGUUGUAAAGCUCUUUUGGCGGGGACGAUAAUGACGGUACCCGCAGAAUAAGCCCCGGCUAACUUCGUG
RNAcentral lists this ribosomal RNA (399 nucleotides) under uncultured bacterium. RNAcentral describes it as "bacterial SSU rRNA". It matches the Rfam family "Bacterial small subunit ribosomal RNA", at positions 64 to 507 of the family's 1533-position model. The record is from RNAcentral.